GUUUCACUACGGUGUUGGUGACUGCCAAUAAUGUUUCUUGAUCUAUGCUUUUAACGUAAGGGCAUCGAACGGAUACGCGGUGGCAGUAUACCGGGCUUGUACCCGGAAACUAUAAAUCGCGACCACGGGCCCACCUGGAU
RNAcentral lists this small RNA (140 nucleotides) under Moorena sp. SIO3C2. RNAcentral's name for it is "partial 6S RNA". It matches the Rfam family "6S / SsrS RNA", at positions 1 to 139 of the family's 187-position model. Rfam says of the family: E. coli 6S RNA was the first non coding RNA to be sequenced, but its function was unknown until recently. It consists of 184 nucleotides that fold into an extended hairpin structure with a large single-stranded internal bulge. The 6S RNA specifically associates with RNA polymerase holoenzyme containing the sigma70 specificity factor. Lineage: Bacteria; Bacillati; Cyanobacteriota; Cyanophyceae; Coleofasciculales; Coleofasciculaceae. The record is from RNAcentral.